This 730-nucleotide ribosomal RNA is filed under the name uncultured bacterium. Its description in RNAcentral is "bacterial SSU rRNA". It matches the Rfam family "Bacterial small subunit ribosomal RNA", at positions 28 to 776 of the family's 1533-position model. The record is from RNAcentral.
GAUGAACGCUGACAGAAUGCUUAACACAUGCAAGUCAACUUGAAGCAACUUCGGUUGUGGAAAGUGGCGGACGGGUGAGUAACGCGUAAAGAACUUGCCCUUCAGUCUGGGACAACCAUUGGAAACGAUGGCUAAUACCGGAUAUUAUGGAACUCUCGCAUGGGAGGAUCAUGAAAGCUAUAUGCGCUGAAGGAGAGCUUUGCGUUCCAUUAGCUAGUUGGUGAGGUAACGGCUCACCAAGGCGACGAUGGAUAGCCGGCCUGAGAGGGUGAUCGGCCACAAGGGGACUGAGACACGGCCCUUACUCCUACGGGAGGCAGCAGUGGGGAAUAUUGGACAAUGGACCAAAAGUCUGAUCCAGCAAUUCUGUGUGCACGAUGAAGGUUUUCGGAUCGUAAAGUGCUUUCAGUUGGGAAGAAGAAAGUGACGGUACCAACAGAAGAAGCGACGGCUAAAUACGUGCCAGCAGCCGCGGUAAUACGUAUGUCGCAAGCGUUAUCCGGAUUUAUUGGGCGUAAAGCGCGUCUAGGCGGGUUCAUAAGUCUGAUGUUAAAAUGCGGGGCUCAACUCCGUAUUGCGUUGGAAACUGUGAACCUAGAGUAUCAGAGAGGUGGGCGGAACUACAAGUGUAGAGGUGAAAUUCGUAGAUAUUUGUAGGAAUGCCGAUGGAGAAGUCAGCUCACUGGAUGAAUACUGACGCUAAAGCGCGAAAGCGUGGGUAGCAAACAGG